RNAcentral lists this ribosomal RNA (311 nucleotides) under Pseudomonas aeruginosa. RNAcentral's name for it is "partial 23S ribosomal RNA". It matches the Rfam family "Bacterial large subunit ribosomal RNA", at positions 1649 to 1942 of the family's 2925-position model. Lineage: Bacteria; Pseudomonadati; Pseudomonadota; Gammaproteobacteria; Pseudomonadales; Pseudomonadaceae. The record is from RNAcentral.
CAAACCUACACAGGUGGUCAGGUAGAGAAUACCAAGGCGCUUGAGAGAACUCGGGUGAAGGAACUAGGCAAAAUGGUGCCGUAACUUCGGGAGAAGGCACGCUGGUGUGUAGGUGAAGUCCCUGCGGAUGGAGCUGAGACCAGUCGAAGAUACCAGCUGGCUGCAACUGUUUAUUAAAAACACAGCACUGUGCAAACACGAAAGUGGACGUAUACGGUGUGACGCCUGCCCGGUGCCGGAAGGUUAAUUGAUGGGGUUAUCCGUAAGGAGAAGCUCUUGAUCGAAGCCCCGGUAAACGGCGGCCGUAACUA